GAUAGGAGGGGGAUAACUACUGGAAACGGUAGCUAAUACCGCAUAACGUCGCAAGACCAAAGAGGGGGACCUUCGGGCCUCUUGCCAUCAGAUGUGCCCAGAUGGGAUUAGCUAGUAGGUGGGGUAACGGCUCACCUAGGCGACGAUCCCUAGCUGGUCUGAGAGGAUGACCAGCCACACUGGAACUGAGACACGGUCCAGACUCCUACGGGAGGCAGCAGUGGGGAAUAUUGCACAAUGGGCGCAAGCCUGAUGCAGCCAUGCCGCGUGUAUGAAGAAGGCCUUCGGGUUGUAAAGUACUUUCAGCGGGGAGGAAGGCGAUAAGGUUAAUAACCUUGUCGAUUGACGUUACCCGCAGAAGAAGCACCGGCUAACUCCGUGCCAGCAGCCGCGGUAAUACGGAGGGUGCAAGCGUUAAUCGGAAUUACUGGGCGUAAAGCGCACGCAGGCGGUCUGUCAAGUCGGAUGUGAAAUCCCCGGGCUCAACCUGGGAACUGCAUUCGAAACUGGCAGGCUGGAGUCUUGUAGAGGGGGGUAGAAUUCCAGGUGUAGCGGUGAAAUGCGUAGAGAUCUGGAGGAAUACCGGUGGCGAAGGCGGCCCCCUGGACAAAGACUGACGCUCAGGUGCGAAAGCGUGGGGGAGCAAACAGGGAUUAGAUACCCCUGGGUAGUCCACGCUGUAAACGGAUGGUCGACUUGGGAGGGUUGGUUCCCCUUGGAGGGAGGUGGGCUUCCGGGAGGAGCUAACGCGUUAAGUCGACCGCCUGGGGAGUACGGCCGCAAGGUUAAAACUCAAAUGAAUUGACGGGGGCCCGCACAAGCGGUGGAGCAUGUGGUUUAAUUCGAUGCAACGCGAAGAACCUUACCUACUCUUGACAUCCAGAGAACUUAGCAGAGAUGCUUUGGUGCCUUCGGGAACUCUGAGACAGGUGCUGCAUGGCUGUCGUCAGCUCGUGUUGUGAAAUGUUGGGUUAAGUCCCGCAACGAGCGCAACCCUUAUCCUUUGUUGCCAGCGGUUCGGUCGGGAACUCAAAGGAGACUGCCAGUGAUAAACUGGAGGAAGGUGGGGAUGACGUCAAGUCAUCAUGGCCCUUACGAGUAGGGCUACACACGUGCUACAAUGGCAUAUACAAAGAGAAGCGACCUCGCGAGAGCAAGCGGACCUCAUAAAGUAUGUCGUAGUCCGGAUUGGAGUCUGCAACUCGACUCCAUGAAGUCGGAAUCGCUAGUAAUCGUGGAUCAGAGGCCACGGUGAA
RNAcentral lists this ribosomal RNA (1256 nucleotides) under Klebsiella sp. IG 32. RNAcentral's name for it is "bacterial SSU rRNA". It matches the Rfam family "Bacterial small subunit ribosomal RNA", at positions 132 to 1366 of the family's 1533-position model. Lineage: Bacteria; Pseudomonadati; Pseudomonadota; Gammaproteobacteria; Enterobacterales; Enterobacteriaceae. The record is from RNAcentral.